Molecule: ribosomal RNA, 2992 nt
Filed under: marine metagenome
Description: bacterial LSU rRNA
Rfam family: Bacterial large subunit ribosomal RNA
Source: RNAcentral
AGAGUGUAUGGUGGAUGCCUUGACAUAAGAAGACGAUGAAGGACGUAGCAGCCUGCGAUAAGCUGCGGUCAGGUGGCAAGCAACCUUUGACCCGCAGAUUUCCGAAUGGGGAAACCCGCUCCAUUGAAGAUGGAGAGAGCUUGAUUUAUCAAGCUGGAAGACCCGGUGAACUGAAACAUCUUAGUAACCGGAGGAAAAGAGAACAAUAGUUAUUCCCCUAGUAGUGGCGAGCGAAAAGGGAGGAGCCCAAACCUAAUUAACCGCGAAUUGAACUUGGUUCGCCAAGUUUGAUUCUGAAGGGUCUAUGCCCACAUGUUUUUUAGGGGUUGCAAGGGAGUUGUGUUUGUUUCAUAGAGAGGCAAGAUGAAGUCAAAAAAGAUUAUUCUUAGCUAAAGGAGUUGGAAAGCUCCGCCAGAGAUGGUGAUAGCCCAGUCAGCGAAAGGAAUUUUCUCUUCAUGACAACUUUUCUUAAGUAGGGCGGGACCCGUGAAAUCCCGUUUGAAGCUAGGUCGACUAUGACCUAAGGCUAAAUACUUCUUAUGAUCGAUAGUGAACAAGUACCGUGAGGGAAAGGUGAAAAGCAUCCCGUUUAGGGAGGUGAAAUAGUACCUGAAACCAUAUACUUACAAAGAGUCGGAGCCUCUUUAUGGGGUGACGGCGUGCCUAUUGAAGAAUGAGCCAACGAGUUUAUUCUAUGUGGCUUACAUAAUUUCCGUUUGGAAAGCAUGUGGAGUGAAAGCGAGGGUUAAUAGCCCGUUUGUGUUUCGCUUUUGUUCCUGUUAGUUCUACUAACAGAACGAAAGUGAAACAUUUGUCGCAUGGAUAAGACCCGAAGCCGGGUGAUCUAACCAUGGCCAGGUUGAGCUUUGUCGAAAGACAAAGGGAGGACCGAACCCACUAGUCGUGCAACACUAGGGGAUGAGCUGUGGUUAGCGCAGAAAUUGUAAUCGAACUCGGCAAUAGCUGGUUCUCCUCGAAAUAGCUUUAGGGCUAGCCUCGAACGCUGACCUCAGGGGGUAGAGCACUGGAUGAGGGCGGGUCUUCGGAUACCGUCUUCAAUCAAACUCCGAAUACUUGAGGGUGUAGUUCGGGAGUCAGACUAUGGGGGCUAAGCUCCAUCAGUCGAAAGGGAAACAGCCCAGAUCACAAUCUAAGGUCCCUAAAUCUAAACUAAGUGUGAAAGGUGGUGUUGUGACUACGACAAUUAGGAGGUUGGCUUAGAAGCAGCCAUCCUUUAAAGAUAGCGUAAUAGCUCACUAAUCAAGUUGUUUCGCGCCGAAAAUUUACCGGGGCUAAGUUUAGUACCGAAGAUGUGAAUUCUAAUCUUUUAGAUUAGAGUGGUAGAGGAGCAUUCUCUUCAGCGUUGAAGCCGUGUCGUGAGGCGUGGUGGAGCGGAGAGAAGCGAGAAUGUUGGCAUGAGUAGCAAAAAGGCGGGUGAGAACCCCGCCCACCGAAAACCUAAGGUUUCCUGGGCAACGCAAAUCGACCCAGGGUUAGUCGAUCCUAAGGCGUAACCCGUGUAGUGCGGGUGUAGUCGAUGGAUGAGCUGGUUAAUAUUCCAGCACUACUGUUGUUUUCCGAUGGGAGGACGCGGUUCUGUGGUUUGAGCGCGCUAUGGUAUGUGCGUUAAUUGCUUCAAGAAACGAUCUAGGCAAAUCCGGAUCAUUAGUUUCAAGAAGUCGUUUGAAGAUAAAGUCGCAAGGCGGAGUCAACUUAAGCAAAAGAACCGACUAGAAAAAUCUCUAGGGCUAAGACAACAGUAAUCGUACCGUAAACCGACACAGGUAGGUAAGGCGAGAAGCCUAAGGUGUACGAGAGAACCUUCGUUAAGGAACUAGGCAAAAUAGCGGCCGUAAUUUCGAGAUAAGGCCUGCCCUGAGCAAUCAGGGCCGCAGCUAAAGAGCCCAAGGGACUGUUUAUCAAAAACACAGCUCUCUGCUAACUCGCAAGAGGAUGUAUAGAGGGUGAAGCCUGGCCAGUGUCCGAACGUUAAGAGGAGAGGUUAGCACUUCGGUGCGAAGCUUUGAAUCCAAGCGCGGAUGAACGCCGGCGAUAACUAUAAUCGUCCUAAGGUAGCGAAAUUCCUUGUCGGGUAAGUUCCGACCUGCACGAAUGGCUUAACCACUUGGGCACUGUCUCAACGAAGGACUCGGCGAAAUUGCAUUACGAGUAAAGAUGCUCGUUAAUCAUAGCAGGACGAAAAGACCCCGUGAAGCUUUACUACAGCUUGAUAUUGAAUUAGGGGCAUGCAUGUUCAGUAAUAGGUGGGAGCCUUCGGGCGCCAGUGAGAUACCACCCUUGUAUGUUUUUAAUUCUCACCCUGAGAUUCAGGGGACAGUGUCUGGUGGGUAGUUUGUCUGGGGCGGAUGCCUCCCAAAAAGUAACGGAGGCGUUUACAAAGGUUGGCUAUCCCGGAAUGGAAACCCGGGAGAUAGCGUAAAGGUAUAAGCCAGCUUUACUGCGAGACCUACAAGUCAAGCAGUUGCGAAAGCAGAACUUAGUGAUCCGACCAUUCAAUAUAGGAUGGUGGAAGCUCAUCGGAUAAAAGCUACUCCGGGGAUAACAGGCUAGUCAGGUCCAAGAGUCCACAUCGACGACCUGGUUCGGCACCUCGAUGUCGGCUCGUCGCAUCCUGGGGGUGGAGAAGCUCCCAAGGGUUGGGCUGUUCGCCCAUUAAAGCGGCACGCGAGCUGGGUUCAGACCGUCGUAAGACAGGUCGGUCUCCUAUCCGCUAUGAUCGUGGAAACUUGAAGAGGCCCUUCCUUAGUACGAGAGGACCGGGAAGGACGAAGCUCUAGUGUACCAACUGUCCCACCAGGGGCAUUGCUGGGUAGCUACCUUCGGUUUAGAUAAGCGCUGAAAGCAUAUAAGCGCGAAGCUGUCUCUAAGAUUAGGUUUCAUAGAUUGGUCAGAGAUUAUGACCUUGAUAGGCUCUAAGUGUAAGCACAGUAAUGUGUUCAGCUGAGGAGUACUAAUAAAUCAUUUGAUUUUC